This is a non-coding RNA of Cinara cedri, 243 nucleotides long. Lineage: Eukaryota; Metazoa; Arthropoda; Insecta; Hemiptera; Aphididae. The record is from the annotation of a GenBank genome assembly.
UUUAUGAUUAUAUUAAUUUUAAUUUAAUAAGUGUCUAUUAAGCUAAUCGUAUUAAGUUAAACCUACUAAGCUACGUAGGUACCAUUUAUCUAUUAAGUAACUUUAAAACUGACUGCUUUUCUUAUUAGAUAAUAGUAAUCGGUGGUGCAACUAGCACACAAUUUUAGGAGGGGGCUAUAGCUCCAUCUUAAUAUUAUACCAUUAGUAAUAUGUAGGGGGCUUCGCCCCACAAACCCCCUACAC